AUGCUCACUUCAGCAACACAUAACAGUAAAACUGGAACGAUGCAGAGAAGAUUACUAGGGCCCCUGUGCAAGGAUGACAUGCAAAUUCAUUCCAUAUUUUU
This 101-nucleotide small nuclear RNA is filed under the name Salvator merianae (Argentine black and white tegu). Lineage: Eukaryota; Metazoa; Chordata; Lepidosauria; Squamata; Teiidae. The record is from RNAcentral.